UUAAAUUGAAGAGUUUGAUCAUGGCUCAGAUUGAACGCUGGCGGCAGGCCUAACACAUGCAAGUCGAACGGUAACAGGAAGCAGCUUGCUGCUUUGCUGACGAGUGGCGGACGGGUGAGUAAUGUCUGGGAAACUGCCUGAUGGAGGGGGAUAACUACUGGAAACGGUAGCUAAUACCGCAUAACGUCGCAAGACCAAAGAGGGGGACCUUCGGGCCUCUUGCCAUCGGAUGUGCCCAGAUGGGAUUAGCUAGUAGGUGGGGUAACGGCUCACCUAGGCGACGAUCCCUAGCUGGUCUGAGAGGAUGACCAGCCACACUGGAACUGAGACACGGUCCAGACUCCUACGGGAGGCAGCAGUGGGGAAUAUUGCACAAUGGGCGCAAGCCUGAUGCAGCCAUGCCGCGUGUAUGAAGAAGGCCUUCGGGUUGUAAAGUACUUUCAGCGGGGAGGAAGGGAGUAAAGUUAAUACCUUUGCUCAUUGACGUUACCCGCAGAAGAAGCACCGGCUAACUCCGUGCCAGCAGCCGCGGUAAUACGGAGGGUGCAAGCGUUAAUCGGAAUUACUGGGCGUAAAGCGCACGCAGGCGGUUUGUUAAGUCAGAUGUGAAAUCCCCGGGCUCAACCUGGGAACUGCAUCUGAUACUGGCAAGCUUGAGUCUCGUAGAGGGGGGUAGAAUUCCAGGUGUAGCGGUGAAAUGCGUAGAGAUCUGGAGGAAUACCGGUGGCGAAGGCGGCCCCCUGGACGAAGACUGACGCUCAGGUGCGAAAGCGUGGGGAGCAAACAGGAUUAGAUACCCUGGUAGUCCACGCCGUAAACGAUGUCGACUUGGAGGUUGUGCCCUUGAGGCGUGGCUUCCGGAGCUAACGUGUUAAGUCGACCGCCUGGGGAGUACGGCCGCAAGGUUAAAACUCAAAUGAAUUGACGGGGGCCCGCACAAGCGGUGGAGCAUGUGGUUUAAUUCGAUGCAACGCGAAGAACCUUACCUGGUCUUGACAUCCACGGAAGUUUUCAGAGAUGAGAAUGUGCCUUCGGGAACCGUGAGACAGGUGCUGCAUGGCUGUCGUCAGCUCGUGUUGUGAAAUGUUGGGUUAAGUCCCGCAACGAGCGCAACCCUUAUCCUUUGUUGCCAGCGGUCCGGCCGGGAACUCAAAGGAGACUGCCAGUGAUAAACUGGAGGAAGGUGGGGAUGACGUCAAGUCAUCAUGGCCCUUACGACCAGGGCUACACACGUGCUACAAUGGCGCAUACAAAGAGAAGCGACCUCGCGAGAGCAAGCGGACCUCAUAAAGUGCGUCGUAGUCCGGAUUGGAGUCUGCAACUCGACUCCAUGAAGUCGGAAUCGCUAGUAAUCGUGGAUCAGAAUGCCACGGUGAAUACGUUCCCGGGCCUUGUACACACCGCCCGUCACACCAUGGGAGUGGGUUGCAAAAGAAGUAGGUAGCUUAACCUUCGGGAGGGCGCUUACCACUUUGUGAUUCAUGACUGGGGUGAAGUCGUAACAAGGUAACCGUAGGGGAACCUGCGGUUGGAUCACCUCCUUACCUUAAAGAAGC
This 1556-nucleotide ribosomal RNA is filed under the name Escherichia coli. RNAcentral's name for it is "bacterial SSU rRNA". It matches the Rfam family "Bacterial small subunit ribosomal RNA". Lineage: Bacteria; Pseudomonadati; Pseudomonadota; Gammaproteobacteria; Enterobacterales; Enterobacteriaceae. The record is from RNAcentral.